Molecule: small RNA, 68 nt
Filed under: Acididesulfobacillus acetoxydans
Lineage: Bacteria; Bacillati; Bacillota; Clostridia; Eubacteriales; Peptococcaceae
Description: Peptococcaceae bacterium INE non-coding RNA
Source: RNAcentral
GUUUCAAUUCCUCAUAGGCAGGCUAUCGGCCAUCUUCGUCCUCCUUUUGUGCUAAAUAUUCAUUGUUG